UUGGCUUAUCCAUGUUUCUAGUUAUAUCUAGAACAAAAUAACCAGGGCAAUAUUGUUCCAGCCUUCACAUUCCUAGUCUCUUAUGAACUUGAAAAUCAUCCAAUCAAAAUGCAGUAACUGUCAUAGAAUAAUACUAGGUACUUCACUUUUUAAAACGACAUCAUAUGCGACGGUGGUGGUCAGCAAGGUUAUACAACUCUCCACAGGCUCACAGUCAGCCACUUGUUUCCCUUGGAAACCUUCCAGAUAGGAGACACUGUGACACAGGAGCACAAAGCCAAGUGUCCCCCACAGCUCUGACUUUACCGUCUCCCUCACGAGUGUACAGAUGUGGCCUUAACUGCACUGUUUCUAGGACUCUAGAAUAGAAUACCUUGUACCAAGAUCUCUGCCUCAGGAAAUCCAGAAAGAAAAGGUGCAAAAAUAUAAAUCAUUCCUCUGAUGAGCAUUUUUUUUAAUUGGAAAUUAAAGUGAAAAGCUAACUAU
RNAcentral lists this long non-coding RNA (486 nucleotides) under Bos taurus (domestic cattle). Its description in RNAcentral is "long non-coding RNA NONBTAT011129". The record is from RNAcentral. Lineage: Eukaryota; Metazoa; Chordata; Mammalia; Artiodactyla; Bovidae.